Molecule: non-coding RNA, 77 nt
Filed under: unclassified sequences
Description: c-di-GMP sequence
Rfam family: c-di-GMP-I-UAU riboswitch aptamer
Source: Rfam by way of RNAcentral
UUCUAUAAGUGCAAAAUCAGGGCAACUUGAUGACGCAAAGCUACGGCUUCUGAUACAGGGUCGCCGGGGUGUCAGGG